This 253-nucleotide ribosomal RNA is filed under the name uncultured bacterium. RNAcentral's name for it is "partial 16S ribosomal RNA". It matches the Rfam family "Bacterial small subunit ribosomal RNA", at positions 524 to 776 of the family's 1533-position model. The record is from RNAcentral.
UACGUAGGGGGCGAGCGUUGUCCGGAUUUACUGGGCGUAAAGCGCGUGUAGGCGGUACUCUAAGUCCGGGGUGAAAUCCGGGGGCUUAACCCCCGAACGGCGCCGGAAACUGGAGCGCUUGAGUGUCGGAGAGGGGAGUGGAAUUCUCGGUGUAGCGGUGAAAUGCGUAGAGAUCGAGAGGAACACCCGUGGCGAAGGCGGCUCCCUGGCCGAACACUGACGCUGAGAAGCGAAAGCAUGGGGAGCGAACAGG